Molecule: ribosomal RNA, 96 nt
Filed under: Triticum aestivum (bread wheat)
Lineage: Eukaryota; Viridiplantae; Streptophyta; Magnoliopsida; Poales; Poaceae
Description: partial small subunit ribosomal RNA
Source: RNAcentral
AUGAUAUAUUAUUUAAUCAUGGAAAUGCCAUGUCAGUUGCACCUAAAAAAAUCGGAACAAACCAAUUACCAAAUCCACCUAUCGUCGCCGGCAUAA